Molecule: RNA transcript, 1257 nt
Organism: Raphanus sativus (radish)
Lineage: Eukaryota; Viridiplantae; Streptophyta; Magnoliopsida; Brassicales; Brassicaceae
Exons: 2
Source: RefSeq, a predicted model, not a curated record
GACACGUUGUGUUUCUGUUCCGACAUUUUGCAACCAAACAAUUCUGUUACUGUCUGUUUCCAGAACUUCUCCCCGGAGACGUAAGGAGAAAUAGCCACCAAACGAUCUAGGGAUCUUUACGGUUCUGCGAUUCGCCGAUAGUUGAAAGCUUUUUCAAGAGACUUCAAUGGUGAGCCAAGGAAUGGUGUCUCUCACCAAGUCUCUAUGCAUCACAACUCCAAGAAUCCGCCUCAAGAAUCCCAAGAUGAUGCAGAACCUAAAGUCCCGGUCUUCUCAUCAUCUCCGUGUCUUAUGCACAAAGAUGUCUCAGUGGGAACCAUCACCUUUCAUCCGUUCUUCUUCUGCACAAGAAGCUGGUAAUAUAGUAUUAGAAAAAACCGCAAAUGUGUUCGAGUCUAUCGUAUCCGAAACUGCAGAGGAGGAGGAGGAGGAGAAAGUAGAUUCGUCUCAAACUACCAACUCUCACCAAGUUGAGGUUUUUAAAUGGCCAAUAUGGCUAUUAGGUCCAUCUGUUCUACUCACAAGCGGCAUGGCACCUACACUAUGGCUACCGUUGUCAUCGGUUUUCGUCGGUUCGAAUGUGGUUAGUGUGCUUUCCUUGAUCGGUUUGGAUUGUAUAUUCAACCUCGGAGCUACCCUUUCUUGUUGAUGGCUGACUCUUGCGCACGUCCUAAAGAUCCAUCAGUGUCCUGCAAGAGCAAACCACCGUUUAGCUACAAGUUCUGGAAUGUUUUCGCUCUCUUAACCGGGUUUCUCGUCCCAACGCUACUUCUCUUCGGAUCCCAAACCGGUUUACUCGGUUCACUCCAGCCUGAGCUUCCUUUCAUCUCCUCAGCUGUUCUCCUCUUCCCCUACUUCAUCCUCCUCGCGGUUCAGACGUUGACGGAGAUCCUCACGUGGAGCUGGCAGUCACCGGUGUGGCUAGUGACACCGGUCGUCUACGAGGCUUACCGUGUUCUGCAGCUGAUGAGAGGGUUGAAGCUAAGCGCAGAGGUGAAUGCGCCGGUUUGGGUGGUUCAUAUGAUCCGUGGGCUUGUGUCUUGGUGGGUGUUGAUAUUGGGGAUGCAACUCAUGAGAGUUGCUUGGUUUGCUGGUUAUGCAUCUAGAACAACAAGAGCAAAUCAGCAACCAGAAUUGUCUGUUGCUUCUAAGUAAAAGAUAGAUAUGUAUAACUCUCUUUUACUAUAUACUCCCUCCGUUUCAUAUUAAUUGUCGUUCUAAGUUUAUGCACACAUAUUAAGAAAACAUUUAAUUUUA